GUCGCUUCUCAGCCUUUCGGCUAAGAUCAAGUGUAGGGUCUGUUCUUCAUGGUGUAAUAGCUGAUGCGUCCUCUAGCCAAAGACAAUAUAUCACAUGGGUCUUUGGAAUUAGGUGAUGGAACAGGAGCCUACUGUACCCACUCCACUCAUUGGCCUGGUGUUGCAGGACCAUUACUUCAGUGUAGAGAAA
This is a small nuclear RNA of Lutra lutra (Eurasian river otter), 190 nucleotides long. RefSeq annotates it as U2 spliceosomal RNA. The transcript has a single exon. The record is from RefSeq and is a predicted model, not a curated record. NCBI's taxonomy places the organism in Eukaryota, Metazoa, Chordata, Mammalia, Carnivora, Mustelidae.